GUAAGUUUCAACACCUAAGAACAGAACAUCAGCUAGAAAAAGGUCAAUCGCCACAAGGCAUCUAUACCCAAAUAUGAAUAUAGCUUGUAACUCAUUUAUUAAACAGCAGGUUCAUUUGAAACCCUCAAAAAAUGCAAUGAUAUAACAAAGUUACUGUAGUGGAACUAGCCAAGCAGUCUGAGCUACUCCCAACAGCAACAAAGGGAGCCCAGUCUACUGAAGCUCUACUAAAAAUUGAACCCAUAUAGGCUUGUCUUUGAGAUUACAUGGUUUCCGAACUCCAAACUUUUCACAAAAUACAAAUAUGAUAAGAUAUGCCUGCGAUUUGCCUGGUCCUCUGCCUAUAUUAAUUUAAGAAACUAGCAGCCCUUUAUUAUAACCUAUCUAAACUGGCAGUCUGGCACAGAAUUCUUUGAAGUCAAGCAUAAUUUUGUGUGUAUUUAAAAUCAUAUGUUUUCAUUUGUUCUACUUUGUCCAUCAUCUAGAAAAUCUAAUCAACAAAACGGCUUCAGAUGUCUGAAUAUA
RNAcentral lists this unclassified non-coding RNA (525 nucleotides) under Hevea brasiliensis (rubber tree). Lineage: Eukaryota; Viridiplantae; Streptophyta; Magnoliopsida; Malpighiales; Euphorbiaceae. The record is from RNAcentral.